Molecule: ribosomal RNA, 609 nt
Filed under: uncultured bacterium
Lineage: Bacteria
Description: bacterial SSU rRNA
Rfam family: Bacterial small subunit ribosomal RNA
Source: RNAcentral
UGCGGCCUAUCAGGUAGUUGGUGGGGUAAAGGCCUACCAAGCCUGCGACGGGUAGCCGGACUGAGAGGUCGACCGGCCACACUGGAACUGAGACACGGUCCAGACUCCUACGGGAGGCAGCAGUGGGGAAUAUUGCACAAUGGGGGAAACCCUGAUGCAGCGACGCCGCGUGGAGGAUGACGGCCUUCGGGUUGUAAACUCCUUUUGUCAGGGACAAUAGUGAUGGUACCUGACGAAUAAGCCACGGCUAACUCUGUGCCAGCAGCCGCGGUAAGACAGAGGUGGCGAGCGUUGUUCGGAAUUACUGGGCUUAAAGGGCGCGUAGGCGGUGGUGUAAGUCUGGGGUGGAAUGCUACAGCUCAACUGUAGAGCUGCCUUGGAAACUGCAUUACUUGAGUCGGUGAGGGGAAGGCGGAAUUCCUGGUGUAGCGGUGAAAUGCGUAGAUAUCAGGAGGAAGGUCUGUGGCGAAGGCGGCCUUCUGGCACUUGACUGACGCUGAGGCGCGAAAGCGUGGGGAGCAAACAGGAUUAGAUACCCUGGUAGUCCACGCCCUAAACGGUGGGUAUUAGGUGUGGGGCCUUCAUGGGUUCCGUGCCGUAGCGAAAGCA